This is a long non-coding RNA of Corythoichthys intestinalis (scribbled pipefish), 189 nucleotides long. RefSeq lists it as uncharacterized. The transcript has 3 exons. The record is from RefSeq and is a predicted model, not a curated record. NCBI's taxonomy places the organism in Eukaryota, Metazoa, Chordata, Actinopteri, Syngnathiformes, Syngnathidae.
GUCCAUGCCCUCAACUUGAUUACCUCUCAAAAGAGGCCGCCAACUGACAACCAGGGGUGAUUUGUCAUGCCUGCUGCUUUGGACUGAUUGAGCACAUUUGUCUGAUCAGCUUCUGCAUCUUUUUGAGGAAGCAACCGGCAGGAUGAUCGACAAACUGGACAUCUGCUUUUACGUGAUUAAAAUGAGGUA